UACAGAGGUCUCAACCGUUGUUCGGAUUCAUUGGGCGUAAAGGGUGCGUAGGCGGUCGGGUAAGUCGGAUGUGAAAUCUCAGGGCUCAACCCUGAAACUGCAUUCGAUACUGCCGUGCUUGAGGACUGGAGAGGAGACUGGAAUUUACGGUGUAGCGGUGAAAUGCGUAGAUAUCGUAAGGAAGACCAGUGGCGAAGGCGGGUCUCUGGACAGUUCCUGACGCUGAGGCACGAAGGUCAGGGGAGCAAACGGG
Molecule: ribosomal RNA, 253 nt
Filed under: uncultured bacterium
Lineage: Bacteria
Description: partial 16S ribosomal RNA
Rfam family: Bacterial small subunit ribosomal RNA
Source: RNAcentral